CAGUUCAGUUUUCUGAGUUUUCGACCCAGUUGUCUAUUUACUAAACACUGUACACUUCGGUUGGGUAUUUGGAAGUAGUCUCUUCACAAAGGUUUUAGUAGACAUCUUAUAGAUCAUUUCAGAAUUGAAAUCUCUUGAAAAUGAUUUUUUUACAUUAAACUAUGAAUUUAUAAAGUUGAGAGUCUGCAUUAAGAAAUUCUGCAAAAGUGUUACCAUGUUACUGCAUUUUCUUUUUUAUUUCGAUAGUUUCUUUCAUUCAAACUUGUUCAGAUUCAUCACCAACUGAACAUAGACAUUCUUAAACUUUUCAAAGUAAACUUACGACACCAUUUUCAGACUUUAUUUGAGAUACUUAUGCCUUUUUGGAAUCAGCUUUCCGUGUAAGCUUUCCUUCAACAUAAAACUGCAUCAUAUUUUGGUUAAUUGUCUAGCACCUCAAAUAUGAGUCAAAUGGCCUGCGAUUUUAGGUACUAUGUUGUUAAGAGACAACCUCUAGAGCAGUGUAUGUUCUUCAGCUAGAAUGAUACAUUUAUGUUUAAACUUAAAUGUGUGGAUCUCAUUAAGAAUGCAGGAAGAUAAUUUUAGCUUAUUUGGACGGAAAUAAGAAUUAGAUUAAGUCCAGAAUUCUUUAUCUCGGAUUUGGUUCUUGUCAUGAUUUGGUCAUUUUCGUGUAAUGUUUAACAUGAUUUACUGUAAAUAGGAAUGAUCUUAUUUCAACUCUAUUUCAACUUAGUUGUGAAUUGUGUCUUCUUUUUUUUUUUGAUUUGUUCAUAGUGGAUACAACAAUGUCCCAAUGUCAGAGUAGUCAAACUAGUAGCUCUUCUCCAUCUAUUCAAUCAACCGCAAAUGUAGAAGGAACUGCAUCCUUACACACAUCCCCAUUAGGACCUCCCCCUGAACCUCAACGCCCUCAACCUUUAGCUGAACCUCAAUCCCAACCUCAAUCUCAUCCUUAAACUCAACUUGAACCUCGGCCACAAAGCUCACAACCUCAAUCUUCUUGUGGGCAGAAACGAAAAGAACCAGCCAACAAAAGUCCUCUUUGGGCAUACUUUACUAGAUGUAAGUUCCCAAACUCGGAUGAAAUCGAUCCGGAGUGGUGCACAUGCAACAUUUGUGGUGAGGAAGUGUUGUGUGCAGUUAAGAGGAAUGGGACAAGUUCAAUGUGGUCUCAUGUAAACAAGAGAUGUUUGGAACACCCAUUGCAUCCCAAACUAGCUGAUUCUGAUCCCAAACAGUCUAGGUUGUCUGUAGAUAAUGUGAGUGGAGCAAGAACUUAUCAUAAGUAUAACCG
This 1294-nucleotide long non-coding RNA is filed under the name Fragaria vesca (wild strawberry). RNAcentral's name for it is "long non-coding RNA (FVES_LNC004651)". Lineage: Eukaryota; Viridiplantae; Streptophyta; Magnoliopsida; Rosales; Rosaceae. The record is from RNAcentral.